CGCACCUUGCGCUCCAUGGCAUUCCAUGGAGCAUGCCUGUUUGAGUGUCACGUGAAUACAUCACUCUUGUUAACUAACAUGUCCCUGAGGCAUGUCUCAAGAUGUGGACUUGGACCGUGCCGUGGUUGGCUCGUCUUGAAAUUCAUUAGCCGUGCUGGUUAGAUUCGGCCACCUGGUGUGAUAUACAUCUACGCCUACUGUGUCGUGUCUUUCUGAGGAGUGGCUUAUAAUCGUCGUUUGCUCGACAACCAUUUCAUAACGCUCUGGCCUCAAAUCAGGUAGGACUACCCGCUGAACUUAA
This 301-nucleotide unclassified non-coding RNA is filed under the name Auriculariales sp. RNAcentral's name for it is "partial contains 5.8S ribosomal RNA, internal transcribed spacer 2, and large subunit ribosomal RNA". Lineage: Eukaryota; Fungi; Basidiomycota; Agaricomycetes; Auriculariales. The record is from RNAcentral.